Cervus elaphus (red deer) is the source of this 1437-nucleotide long non-coding RNA. RefSeq lists it as uncharacterized. Lineage: Eukaryota; Metazoa; Chordata; Mammalia; Artiodactyla; Cervidae. The record is from RefSeq and is a predicted model, not a curated record. The transcript is spliced from 4 exons.
GGGCAGUGUCAGAGAAACAGAAAUGAACAGACAGAGGAAGAAAAUGCAGGGAAAAUGUUAAACACAUAUCAACAGUAAAAAGUGUCCUAGUUAUUACUGCUUGGAUCAGUAAUGGUCCAAAGUCUUGACUGAAGGAAGAAAAUAAAGUCAAGGGAGAAACUGAAGACAACCUAUAUUGUGGAAUACUGAGGUGAAUAAAACAUAGCCAUUGGCCUUAGAAAACUUACAGAUUCAUGAAGAAUCAAGCAUCUAAAGUAAUUACAUAUGUUCAGUCACUCAGCCAUGUCCAACUCUUUGUGACCCUAUGGAUUGUAACCCACCAGGCACCUCUGUUCAUGGGAUUUUUCAGGCAAGAAUACUGGAGUGGGUUGCGAUUUCCUCCUCAAUGAUUACAAUACAGCAUGCUGAAAGCACAAGGAAUAGAGGUAACUUCAGUUAAGUCAUUCGAUCAACCAAAUGCAUGGAGUGUCUUCUAUUUUACACGCACUAGUCUGGAAAAACAGGAUAAUCCCAAGUCCAGACUUUCAAUGUCAUAGAAAGCUUCCAAAAGAAACUUGAUCUGAGUUUUGUAAGAGGUAGCCAGGUAAAAGCAUGUGGCAGACAUUCAUUCUUCCCUUCCUGCAUACAAAUAGAAAUCUGAAUUAUUUGAGACAGCAUUGUAUUAAAAGCCAUUCAUACACCAUUCUAGGUAUGAGUGACCAUGUAAGUGAAAAAAAGCCUGUUGAACAGGGCUUUGUUGAAAAUCAUUUUUUUCCCGAUGAAAAUGAACUUAACUGACAGGUUCUUCCCUCUUCCUUUUAUUCAUGCUUGGGAUGCAGUUAUGAAACCUAGAGAUGGAAUCAUCAUCUCUCAGCCAUAAAAACCUCCUUACAAUAAUGGUAAAAUAAAAAGAUAGUAGGAGUCUUGGUCCCUGAUGAUACCAUACAACUUAUAUUUCCUUUGGAUUUUUGUUUAAGCCAUUGUAGUCACUUUUCUAUUAUGUACUGUUAAAUACAAUUCUAAGUAAUAAGAAGAGUACUGGAGUUUGGUGGUAGAGAGUUCAAGAGAAACUUCCCAGGCAUAGGAAACAAUGAGAUGCACAAAGAUGUGGAGUGAGAAGCUCAAUAUGAAGAAACUGUAAGGAAACCAACUGAUUGGAGUUAUGAAGAGAAGGAGACCAGAGAUGAAGUUGUAGAGCCCAGUUCAACUCUGUAAAGAGCAAAUGAUGAAUGGAGAAGAAUAAGAGGGAAAGAAAUGUGCCAUAAGAGACAUUUAGCAGACAUUAUUUUAAUGUGUCUGACAUAGUUUUGCAUAGUUUCACACCUUUAUGAGUUUAUUGCUAUAAUGGUGGCAGGAAGAUAUGGGUUCCAGGCACCACUAACUAAUGAGACAGUUUUGAAUUUUACUUGAUACUUCCAAUAAAAUCUUUUCACAGUGUCUGUACUCUUUCAAUCCAGU